GUAGCGAAAUUCCUUGUCAGGUAAGUUCUGACCCGCAUGAAUGGCGUAACGAUUUCUCCGCUGUCUCCAACAUCAACUCAGCGAAAUUGAAUUCUCCGUGAAGAUGCGGAGUACGUGUAGUUAGACGGAAAGACCCCGUGCACCUUUACUACAGCUUUACAGUGGUAUUAGGAAAACAAUGUGUAGGCUAGGUGGUAGACUUUGAAGCAGGAGCGCUAGCUCUUGUGGAGCUAUCCUUGAAAUACCACCCUGGCCCGUCUGGAAUCCUAACCGAGGCCCGUGAUCCGGGUCCGGGACACUGUCUGGUGGGCAGUUUGACUGGGGCGGUCGCCUCCUAAAAAGUAACGGAGGCGCACAAAGGUUCCCUCAGGCUGAUUGGAAACCAGCCGUAGAGUGCAAAGGCAGAAGGGAGCUUGACUGCGAGACCGACGGGUCGAGCAGGUGCGAAAGCAGGUCUUAGUGAUCCGGCGGUUCCGUAUGGAAGGGCCGUCGCUCAUCGAAUAAAAGGUACGCCGGGGAUAACAGGCUUAUCUCCCCCAAGAGUUCACAUCGACGGGGAGGUUUGGCACCUCGAUGUCGGCUCAUCGCAUCCUGGGGCUGGAGCAGGUCCCAAGGGUUUGGCUGUUCGCCAAUUAAAGCGGUACGCGAGCUGGGUUUAGAACGUCGUGAGACAGUUCGGUCCCUAUCCUCUGCAGCCGGAGGAGAUUUGAGAAAGGCUGUCCCUAGUACGAGAGGACCGGGACGGACGUAGCUCUAGUGUGCCAGUUGUUCCGCCAGGAGCAUGGCUGGUUGGCCACCUACGGAAGGGAUAACCGCUGAAAGCAUCUAAGUGGGAAGCCCGUUUCAAGAUGAGAUCUCCCACCGGGAAACCGGGUAAGGCCCGUGGCAGACCACCACGUUGAUAGGCCGGAGGUGUAAGCACGGCAACGUGUUCAGCCGACCGGUACUAAUCGGCCGAGGGCUUGGUUAC
Molecule: ribosomal RNA, 970 nt
Filed under: Acidimicrobiales bacterium
Lineage: Bacteria; Bacillati; Actinomycetota; Acidimicrobiia; Acidimicrobiales
Description: partial 23S ribosomal RNA
Rfam family: Bacterial large subunit ribosomal RNA
Source: RNAcentral